CCUACGGGGGGCAGCAGUGAGGAAUAUUGGUCAAUGGGCUUACGCCUGAACCAGCCAAGUCGCGUGAGGGAAGACUGCCCUAUGGGUUGUAAACCUCUUUUGUCAGGGAGCAACGCCGGCUACGUGUAGCCGGACUGAGAGUACCUGAAGAAAAAGCAUCGGCUAACUCCGUGCCAGCAGCCGCGGUAAUACGGAGGAUGCGAGCGUUAUCCGGAUUUAUGGGGUUUAAAGGGUGCGUAGGCGGAAUGCCAAGUCAGCGGUAAAAUCGCGGGGCUCAACCUCGCUCCGCCGUUGAAACUGGCGUUCUUGAGUGGGCGAGAAGUAUGCGGAAUGCGUGGUGUAGCGGUGAAAUGCAUAGAUAUCACGCAGAACUCCGAUUGCGAAGGCAGCAUACCGGCGCCCAACUGACGCUGAAGCACGAAGGCGUGGGUAUCGAACAGGAUUAGAUACCCCAGUAGUC
RNAcentral lists this ribosomal RNA (460 nucleotides) under uncultured bacterium. RNAcentral's name for it is "partial 16S ribosomal RNA". It matches the Rfam family "Bacterial small subunit ribosomal RNA", at positions 338 to 795 of the family's 1533-position model. The record is from RNAcentral.